RNAcentral lists this long non-coding RNA (2673 nucleotides) under Monodelphis domestica (gray short-tailed opossum). Its description in RNAcentral is "lncRNA (ENSMODG00000034373.2)". The record is from RNAcentral. Lineage: Eukaryota; Metazoa; Chordata; Mammalia; Didelphimorphia; Didelphidae.
AUCUACUCCUGGGGGCGGAUACAGGCCAGCUGGGCAGCUGAGAGCCUCCCACCCCACUGCACAUAAGGCUGCAGCUGUCCAAAGAACAGCCCAGUUGGGAUUUGUCCUUGGGGCUCCCAGGGGGUGGUCUGGGGGACUUUAACUCAGACACAAAGCCCUGGAUUCUGAGCUCUAUCUCAGGUGACGAAGGGGGCCGAACUACUCAUGUUGGCAAGUUUAGUUCUAGAUCAGGGUGCUUGGGCAAGGAGCUGCUCUCUGGCCACAGGCACCGGCAUUGAGACCAGUGCCAAGACCCUGGUCAGGAACCCAAGAGCUGUGCUUCCAGCAGUCUUGGACAGACACCCCAACAGCAUGAAUGUCUCCAGAAGGAUCCAUUCUCUCCGUGCACACCGACAGAAGGCAGACCCCAGCUGGCCCCGGGCCUGCAGUAACAAACACAGGUGGGGCCAGGAGGAACAGCUGCCCACCAUCCACACCAUCUACACUGUGGUCCUUCUGGCCCUCCUCAUGGCCAUCUUGGGGGCCUGGGCUCGGAAAGACACGUGAGGAUCAACCCCACAGACACUCUGCUGCCUGGGCACGGGAGGAUGUUGGCAUCAUGAGAGUUCCUUGUACCAAGGAGGACGUAGAACUGAAGGGGGGAAAGGACAGGCCCAGACUACUGAGGCCAGCGAUGGAAGCAAUAGCCAAAUACUGCCCAGCCCAGGCUGCUGCCCUUAUCCUGAGUUCCCAUAGGCUUUCCCCUUGCCUGGCAUCUGCUCCUGCCUCCUCUCUCCUAGGAGGCCAGCUCUGCAGCUACCUCCAACCUCCUGAAAAGGAACUUUCUCCCCAUCAGGCUGUCCAAGAGCCAUUUCCUGGAUCUCUUCUGCCCUUCCAUAGUAGUGGCUCUAGGGCUGGACCUCAGGAAGGAAAGGGUGGCCAGCUCUACCCCUGCAGAAAACCUAGGCAGCAUCUCUCCCAGCCUCUAAGAGUCCAGGAGAGCCAAGCAGAUGGCUGAACAGAGGGAGAGCUUCAGAAGUCUGGUCCUACCAUCCCUAGCCUCAGGCUCUAUGUGCUCCAUGGCCCCCUAGCCAAUGACUAGAGAGAAAAAAUCAUUUGUUUCAGAUACCACUCACUUUCAGUGAGUCAAUGCUGGUGGGAUUUGAACCUGUAUUUCCUUUUUUUUUAAAACCCUUACCUUCCAUCUAUGUAUUGGCUCCAAGGCAGAAGAGUGGUAAGGGUUAGGCAAUGGGGGUCAAGUGACUUGCCCAUCGUCACAUAGCUAGAAAGUGGCUGAGGUCAGAUUUGAACCCAGGACCUCCUGUCUCUGGGCCUGAUUCUCAAUCCCCUGAGCCAUCUAGCUGUCCCCUGAACCCAUACUUCUUGACUCCCAUGAGAGCUCACUAGAGAAGCAAAGCCCUCCUUGAACCAAAGGCCUUUCUUUCUCACAAUAUUCUGGUGAUGCCAUGUGGCUGCUAGGCACAGAAUGACCUGGUCUCCCCAGAUUUCAAGUUGAAGGCAGCAGGGAAGUGUCAGGAAGAUGUGGGGAAGACAUGACACCUUUUCAGUCCAGAACUGAAGAGAAAUAGCAUCAAGGAUCAUCAUAUCCGAGAGGUAGGAGAUGGGAAAAGAAAGGAGGCUGGCUGCGAAGAGAGCCAGGGGACUCCAUUGGGCUCCAUAGAGAAGAUUCCAGAGACCUCCAUGGGGAAUGAUGGGAAAAUGCGAACAAGUGUUAAAUGCAGAGGGUCACAGUCUGCACCAUUGGAGGAAAGAUCUACAUACAUUGAGGAGAUCCCAAACUCUUUGAAGCGUCCUCCACCGAGGCUGCUUUCAGCCACAACCAUCUCUGGCAAUGAUAAGUACCGAAGGAUUAUGUCUCAGUGGAGCCUGCUUUUAUUUUCCUAACUCUCUUUCCAGGUUCCAGGAGGGACACCCAGCUCUGAUGGGAGGGAAAUCAAUAGACACCCAACUCUGGACAGCCCUGCCUACAGUAAAGGAGGGGUUAAGUCUUGCUUUCUAAAUACCUCUUAUACAAAGGGACAGCCCUAAGACCAUGCUUGGCCCUGGAUGGUCUGGGCUGGUGGAACCUGGAGACCAACCUUUCACUGCAUAAAAUUAGCUCCAAAAAAAAGUGGGGGGGGUGGGGGGAGGACCUAUUUGUACACCAAUAUUUAGAGCAGCUCUCUUUGUGGCCGCCAAGAACUAGAAAGCCAGGUGAUGUCCCUCCACUGAGGAAUGGCUAAACGGUGUGGUAGAUGAUGGUGAUGGAAUACUAAUAUGCUGUAAGAAAUGAUGAAGGCGGGGUUCUGAGAAACCUGGGAAGAUUUGUAUGAACUGAGGCAGACUGAAGUGAGCAGAACCAGGAGAACAUUGGACAUGGUAACAUUGUGUGAUGACUCUGUAACACAAUGACUUUAAGACAAUUCUGAAGGACUCAUGAUGAUUUCUCAUGCUCUCCACCUCCAGAGAAAAAUCUGAUGGACUCAGUGAAGAUAGAAGCAGAUUCUUUAAAACUUUCUUUCUUUUUAUGGAUAAGUUUCUUUGUUUUCUUUUUCAACAUGGCAAAUAUGGAAACAUUUCACAUGACUUCGCAUAUAUAAUUGAUACCAUAUUGCUUCCCUUCUGUGGUGGGGAGAAUGUGUAACUCAAUUUUUAAAAAAUAAAUGUUAAAAAUUUUCAUGUAAUUGGAAAAUA